GAAACUAAGCAUAUCAAUAAGCGGAGGAAAAGACUACAAGGAUUCCCCUAGUAACUGCGAGUGAAGCGGGAAAAGCUCAAAUUUAAAAUCUGGUGGCCUUUGGCCAUCCGAGUUGUAAUUUAGAGAAGCGUCUUCCGCGCUGGACCGUGCACAAGUCUCCUGGAAUGGAGCGUCAUAGAGGGUGAGAAUCCCGUCUUUGGCACGGACGUCAGGGCUUUUGUGAUGCGCUCUCGAAGAGUCGAGUUGUUUGGGAAUGCAGCUCAAAAUGGGUGGUGAACUCCAUCUAAAGCUAAAUAUUGGCGAGAGACCGAUAGCGAACAAGUACCGUGAGGGAAAGAUGAAAAGCACUUUGGAAAGAGAGUGAAACAGUACGUGAAAUUGUUGAAAGGGAAACGCUUGAAGUCAGUCGCGUCGACCGAGACUCAGCCUUGCCUUGGCUUGGUGUACUUCUCGGCCGACGGGUCAGCAUCAAUUUUGACCCUUGGAUAAUGGCGAGGGAAAUGUGACACCUUUAGGUGUGUUAUAGUCCCUCGUCGCAUGCAAGGGUCGGGAUUGAGGAACUCAGCACGCGCCUUUGGGCGUCGGGGUUUUGCCCACGAUUCGUGCUUAGGAUGUUGGCGUAAUGGCUUUAAACGACCCGUCUUGAAACACGGACCAAGGAGUCUAACAUGCCCGCGAGUGUUCGGGUGGAAAACCCGUGCGCGCAAUGAAAGUAAAAGUUGGGACCUCUGUCGUGGAGGGCACCGACGCCCGGACCAGACCUUCUGUGACGGCUCUGCGGUAGAGCGUGCAUGUUAGGACCCGAAAGAUGGUGAACUAUGCCUGAAUAGGGUGAAGCCAGAGGAAACUCUGGUGGAGGCUCGUAGCGAUUCUGACGUGCAAAUCGAUCGUCAAAUUUGGGUAUAGGGGCGAAAGACUAAUCGAACCAUCUAGUAGCUGGUUCCUGCCGAUUUUCCCUCUCGAAAAG
This 967-nucleotide ribosomal RNA is filed under the name Russula sp. HMAS 276806. RNAcentral describes it as "eukaryotic LSU rRNA". It matches the Rfam family "Eukaryotic large subunit ribosomal RNA", at positions 30 to 981 of the family's 3401-position model. Lineage: Eukaryota; Fungi; Basidiomycota; Agaricomycetes; Russulales; Russulaceae. The record is from RNAcentral.